UACGUAGGGGGCAAGCGUUGUCCGGAUUUAUUGGGCGUAAAGGGCGCGUAGGCGGCCUGGCAAGUGGAAGGUGAAAUCCCUCGGCUUAGCCGAGGAACUGCCUUCCAAACUGCUUGGCUUGAGUCCGGGAGAGGUGAGUGGAAUUCCCAGUGUAGCGGUGAAAUGCGUAGAUAUUGGGAGGAACACCAGUGGCGAAGGCGGCUCACUGGACCGGAACUGACGCUGAGGCGCGAAAGCGUGGGGAGCAAACAGG
This 253-nucleotide ribosomal RNA is filed under the name uncultured bacterium. RNAcentral's name for it is "partial 16S ribosomal RNA". It matches the Rfam family "Bacterial small subunit ribosomal RNA", at positions 524 to 776 of the family's 1533-position model. The record is from RNAcentral.